Long non-coding RNA from Oncorhynchus masou masou (cherry salmon), 1289 nucleotides. RefSeq lists it as uncharacterized. The record is from RefSeq and is a predicted model, not a curated record. Lineage: Eukaryota; Metazoa; Chordata; Actinopteri; Salmoniformes; Salmonidae. The transcript has 3 exons.
UUUGUGACAGCGCACAAGGAAGGACACGGCUGCUCGUCACACGACAGUUCGUGUGGGUAGACCGUGCGUGUCGGCAGUGUGGCGAACCGAACCGCAGCCUCUUCUACAGUUUUUUUUUUGACGGAUAAUUUAUCAUACUCACCUCUACUCAAUGAACCUACCUUGAGCUUAUUAUUUUGUUGUGGUUUUCGGCGUCAAAGCGACAGAGAUGGAAAGCAAGUUAGCCAGCACUACUCCAUCUUCCUCUUCAUUUGAUAUACAGCUACUGACAUAACCAGGGGCGCUGAAGUGACAGAGUGCAGCGGAAGAUGGACAUCCGGAGUGGCAUACAAAAGGCAGUGGAGCCCCUCCCUACCUCUCUCCCCUCCUCCCCUCAACAGUCGGGUGCCCAUCAGCAGAGCGAGCCGGAGGACAGCCAGGCAGAGCGGAGCGCCAGGCCCACCGCUGACAACCACAGCAAGGACACCCAGCCAGCCGCCGGCCACCGAGACGACAAAAAAUAUUUCAAUGUGGAGUCGAUUGAUGGGACUAUGUUUCAUGAAGCCAUUAGAAGACUGUUGCUGACUGAGAGGAGGUAUGUAUACAUUAUUUCUUAUGAAUGAUGUAUAGUAAGUCUUGGUGAUUCAAUAGCCUAGUUAACCAUUACAUUACUUUUAACACACUAUUUCUAUGUUUUGCUCAGUCUGGCACUAACCCAGAACUAUCAGAAGCAUCUUUCUUUCGGCUGCUGCUGAGAACAACUGCAUGGAAGUUGUUCUUCCACAUUAUAGUACGUAUUUGUCUGCAUAGCAUUUUGUCUUCAUUUUAUCAGAUUAACUCAGGUUUUUGCAAAUGUCUUAUUAUUUUCUGGAACUAGUCAGGCAACAACCCAUACUGUACUGGCGGUAGAUAGCCCAGCGGCUAAAGAGGUGGACCUGUGGCAGGAGUUGGACCUGUGGACAGUUUGAAUCCUGGGCCGAGUUCUGGAAAAAACAAACGGAAUUAAUCUGACAAGUGGAGGGCUGCAGGGUUCAUAUCCUCAAAACAUUCACCUACCGUUGGGCCGUUGAGCAAGGUCUUUAACCCCAAAACAGCUCCAUUCAGGGUCACUGCACUGCAGCUUCAAACUGUUCUCAUCUCAACUGUAUGUGUCAGGUCUGCUGUUUGGGGGUUUAGAAACAGAGCAGAAGGCAUGUUGUUUUGGUUUGCUGUAACUAAUGGACAAAGUUGUAUUGUAUUUUAUUGUAAAGAAGUCAGCCAGAGUUGACAUGGGCCAUCAUUCAAACAAAGAGAUGUCAGCCAGAGUUGAC